This 111-nucleotide non-coding RNA is filed under the name unclassified sequences. RNAcentral's name for it is "DUF3800-I RNA". It matches the Rfam family "DUF3800-I RNA". From Rfam's summary of the family: Actinobacteria, Firmicutes, Fusobacteria, Proteobacteria (1 example), Tenericutes (2 examples). The record is from Rfam by way of RNAcentral.
UAAUAGUGCAGGUAGCAAUACACUGUAUACUCGCGUAACUGGACCAAUUGUUGUUUAAGCGAUAUUUGAUAUCGUCAGCCGCGGGGACGCCGAAAGGCGUUUUUUUUUACC